RNA transcript from Ceratina calcarata, 2806 nucleotides. It is a transcript of the gene named dynein regulatory complex subunit 3, with no coding region annotated. The transcript has 10 exons. The record is from RefSeq and is a predicted model, not a curated record. Lineage: Eukaryota; Metazoa; Arthropoda; Insecta; Hymenoptera; Apidae.
GGCCGCGACAUCCAAGAAGAUCCACGACUCACUCACUCACUCACUCACUCACUCACUCACUCAUUCAGUACACUCAUAUACACCAAACCGCACCACCGCUGUGCCUGUUGGUGCCCUCGCGCUAUAUGCUUACAUUCAUUCUAGUCCAUUCCAUGUAUAAUUUUUACUUGGAUCGUGUAUUAUUGUUUCGAUUAUUUUUUCGAUUACAGUUUUUAUUACUUUCUGCAAAAAAGCUGCAAUUUUGUUUACAUUCAUUGUCUUCCUGUUAUUAACCGGGAGGCGGGGGGUUGGGGGGUUGGGACCGUAUUUGAUGCAGUUGCCCAGUCAACCAUCUGGUGGCAGAAUAGCGGCAGAUCCUACCAUCUUCCGCAGAAUCUACCGGCAGGCUGGCGGCAGCCCAUGCAUUUUCACCUGUCCACCCUGUCCACCACUGUCCACUUUCGAACAAAGAAAUGAAGAAUCUCAUCCCUGUUCAUCUCUGGUGGCACUCUCAUUUCCUCUCUGGUAAUAACAGCAUUAGCAUUACACACUAGAGAUGGCAGCCUGGCAGCCUUCAAAAUCACCGACCGUACCGCGCGUUAUUGAUCCUCUCUAUUGUAGUCAAAGGCUGCGCCAGGUUGCGCCGUUGCGUGUCGUUGCGCGGCAACCAGAUCAAAACUACUUCUAUGUAUAUGUACCAUAUAAAUAGUUAUAAACAGUUAUAAACAGUUAUAAAUCAUGCGUUUUCUUGUUUGGAUGAUGUUUGGAAAGGUUGACUUUACUGUUGGGAACGAAAACACACUACGAUUGAUUUAAUUUGCGUGAGAUUACUACAGAAUAUUUAAGAACAAUGGACCACGAGGACGUCCCUACGAUAUUACACGAAUUCGUGCAGCCUCGUGUAAUAAAUCAAGAUCUAUUGAUCAAUUUGAUAAUCGAACAAGGGCCAAAAGGAACUGCUGGCAAACUGUUUUACGAAGAUGGUAUCGAUUCGAAUGAAACUGAGGAAAUUCGAAUUGAAUUUCUCAACAUUUUGAAAAUUGAUCACUUGUGGGUAAUGCCAAAUCUUGUAAAACUGAAAUUAUCCAAUAAUAUAAUUGAGAAGAUAGAGAAUCUAGAUGUUCUCGUCAAUUUAAAAGAAUUAGACCUAUCCUUCAAUCGCAUCGAGCUGAUGGAGAAUUUAGACAGUUUAGUCAACUUGGAGAUAUUACUUUUGUUUAACAAUCAAAUAGCUGAAGUAGAGGGAUUAGAUAAUUUGCGGAAUCUUACAAUACUCAGUGUGGGCAAUAAUUUCAUAGCUGAUUGGAAACAUGUGCUUUACUUGAGAAAAUUCAAAAAAUUAUAUAGUUUAAAUAUGAAUGGUAAUCCAUGCACCAAGGAGGAUGGAUAUUUAGACUAUGUAUAUGCAUUUAUGCCUCGUUUAAUAUACUACGAGUACAAAAUGAUAACCGUUGAUCAAAGGAGAGCAGCUAAGGAAAAGCAUUAUAGGGAUUUGAACAUUCUGGAAGAGACAGAAAAGAAAGAGGAUGAAGAACUGCAAGUACAACAAAAGUACGAAGAGAAACUAGCUUUUCUCACGACCGCGUACAUGGAACAUCUCGACGAAGAUUACGUGUUCCAUCAAAUGUUUCAAGACGAUAAAGAGGGAAGAGAUCUGUCCAUGGUGAACGAAGACACGCAGAAUGCUUACGAGGAAUACAAAGUGAAUUUUGUUGCGAUAUGUAAAGAAUUUUGCGAGGUAGGUGUGAAAGAACACGAGAAACGUAUGGAAGAGGUGAAUGCGUAUGACACUUGCAUGGACGAAGGUAAAACUGGCACGCAAAAUCAAGGCAGAAGAAUUGUAAACGAAGUGCUACAGAAGAAGGGCGAAUAUUUGGCGAACGUCAAACAGUUGUUAAAAAAACUGAUCGGAGAAGUGGACACUGCCACGGUGGAAGACGUGACUAAGAAAGCGCAACAGAUUGCCGAAGAGUUUCAUGAUCUGGUAACCGAUGCAUGGACGAAUUUAAUGUCCCUCGAAGUGGAACUGCACGAACAAAUAGAGGAAAUAAACGAGGUGUUCAGAAUCAAUAUAUCUGAUAUGGUGGAGGCGUUUAUAACAACCGCACGGGGAUAUUUCUCGCAAUUGCGUAAUUGCGAGGCAGAAUAUAACGAUACCAUUAACGGAUUAAUUUUAUACUUGCUCAGCGGUAUCGGAGAUGACGCGAAACUGCCGCGUCAUUUAAUAAAUUUAUGCGAGGACAAGGAUAUGUUAAACCAUAAUCUUACCAAUUCUCACGAAAGGCAUUUACAAGUAACACAUUGUCGUACUCGACGCUCGGGAGGAUACUUUGGUGACCCGAGUAAAAGAUUGGCUCGAAGAAUUGACCAAUCACUUGAUAAAAAACGAGCUGGAAAGAAACAGCGAGCGAGUGAUAGAAAUAUCGCAUUUUUCGGAUUCUCAGCAACAAGAAUUCUUACAAAUAUUGGCGAAAUUAAAUCUAAAGGUUAACGAUCAGGAAAUUAUAAUGGCACUCGACACUUGAAAUCAAAUGUAGCCAGUUAACCCGGUGAAGGGGGGCGGACGUCCCAACGAUACGAUGGCAAUACCUGCGCGAUAAAUUUGAUGUUGACUAAAAAUUGGAUUUGUAUAAAAUGAUCCGUCACGACGAGCUGCCACCGAGACGAGUACAUACCGGAAUCCGGAUUGUGUGCAACUUGGAUCAGCUUCGAAUGCAUCGUCGUGCAUGCUCUGCAUAAAGGACUUUGUACUUUUGUGAAAAAAAUUCUUGCGGCAAACAUUCUUAAACGUACAUCAAUCAAAUUAAACGAUACAAGUAUAUUGUAA